AUGGACACAUACAUUGGACACACACACAUAUUGGAUACACACACGCUGGACACAGACACACACACAAACACUGGACACAGACACAUACACACACACUGGACACACACACACACACACACUCACAUUGGACACACACACACACACACACACUGGACACAAACACACACACACACAUUGGAUACAGACACACACACAAUCACUGGAUACAGACACACACACACAUUGGACACACACACACAUUGGACACACACACACAUUGGACACACACACACACAUUGGACACACACACAUAUACACAUUGGACACACACACACAGACACACAAACAUACACACACACACACACACACAUACUCAUUGGACACACACACAAACACGCACACAUUGGACAUAUACACAAACACACUGGACACUCACACACACACAGACACACACAUAGGACACUGGACACACACACACACACACACACACACACUGGACACAUAAACACACACACACAUUGGACACACACACAGACACACACAGACAUACACAUUGGACACAUACACACACACACACACACACACACACAUUGGACACACACACACACUGGACACACACACACACUGGACACACACACACACACACACACACUGGACACAUACAUUGGACACACACACAUAUUGGACACACACACAAACACUGGACACAGACACACACACACACACACACACACUGGACACAGACACACACAAACGCACACACUGGACACACACACACACACACACACACACUGGACACAAACACACACACACAUAUUGGAUACAGACACACACACAAUCACUGGAUUAAGACACACACACAUUGGACACACAAAUUGGACACACACACACUGGACACACACCUUGGACACACACACACACACACACACACAUUGGACACACACACAUUGUACACACACACAUACACACACAUUGGACACACACACAUACACACAGGCACAUUGGACACACACUCACAUUGGACACACACACACACACACACACACACUGGACACACAAACACACUGGAUACACGCACUGGACACAAACACACUGGACACACACACACACAUUGGACACACACACACAUAUUGGAUGCACACACACAUGCACACACACUGGACACACACACACACACACACACACACACUGGACACACACACACACACAUGCUGGACACACACACACACACACAUUGGACGCACACACACAAGCACACACAUUGGACACACACUCACAUUGGACACACACACACACACACACACUGGACACACAAACACACUGGAUACACGCACUGGACACACACACACUGGACACACACACACGCGUCAUCCUAUAAUUGUGAGGACCUUGCCACAGGACUUUCAAAUGAGGACCAUCAUUUCUGAUUGGGAACAAACAGACACCUCAUUCCAGCACUAA
This 1440-nucleotide long non-coding RNA is filed under the name Salmo trutta (river trout). Its description in RNAcentral is "lncRNA (ENSSTUG00000042893.1)". Lineage: Eukaryota; Metazoa; Chordata; Actinopteri; Salmoniformes; Salmonidae. The record is from RNAcentral.